Molecule: ribosomal RNA, 778 nt
Filed under: uncultured bacterium
Lineage: Bacteria
Description: bacterial SSU rRNA
Rfam family: Bacterial small subunit ribosomal RNA
Source: RNAcentral
AGAGUUUGAUCAUGGCUCAGGAUGAACGCUGGCGGCGUGCCUAACACAUGCAAGUCGAGCGGAGUUUUUAAGAAGCUUGCUUUUUAAAAACUUAGCGGCGGACGGGUGAGUAACGCGUGGGUAACCUGCCCUAUACACAGGGAUAACAUUGAGAAAUUGAUGCUAAUACCUGAUAAGCYAACGGCUAGGCAUCUAGUAGUURGAAAAACUGAGGUGGUAUAGGAGGGGCCCGCGUCUGAUUAGCUAGUUGGUGGGGUAAAGGCCUACCAAGGCGACGAUCAGUAGCCGACCUGAGAGGGUGAUCGGCCACAUUGGAACUGAGACACGGUCCAAACUCCUACGGGAGGCAGCAGUGGGGAAUAUUGCACAAUGGGGGGAACCCUGAUGCAGCAACGCCGCGUGAAGGAAGAAGUAUUUCGGUAUGUAAACUUCUAUCGACAGGGAAGAAAUAAAUGACGGUACCUGAAUAAGAAGCACCGGCUAAAUACGUGCCAGCAGCCGCGGUAAUACGUAUGGUGCAAGCGUUAUCCGGAUUUACUGGGUGUAAAGGGUGAGUAGGCGGUUAUGCAAGUCAUAUGUGAAAUUCUGGAGCUCAACUCCAGCGCUGCAUAAGAAACUGUGUAACUAGAGUACAGGAGAGGUAAGCGGAAUUCCUAGUGUAGCGGUGAAAUGCGUAGAUAUUAGGAAGAACACCGGUGGCGAAGGCGGCUUACUGGACUGAAACUGACGCUGAGUCACGAAAGCGUGGGGAGCGAACAGGAUUAGAUACCCUGGUAGU